GGUCUUGUUUGGGUUUGUU
Molecule: microRNA, 19 nt
Filed under: Rattus norvegicus (Norway rat)
Lineage: Eukaryota; Metazoa; Chordata; Mammalia; Rodentia; Muridae
Description: rno-miR-331-5p
Gene: rno-miR-331-5p
Source: miRBase by way of RNAcentral